Molecule: ribosomal RNA, 292 nt
Filed under: uncultured Bacteroidota bacterium
Lineage: Bacteria; Pseudomonadati; Bacteroidota
Description: uncultured Bacteroidetes bacterium partial 16S ribosomal RNA
Source: RNAcentral
GGACUACACGGGUAUCUAAUCCUGUUUGAUCCCCACGCUUUCGUGCCUCAGUGUCAAUAUUCGGGUAGUAAGCUGCCUUCGCAAUUGGUGUUCUAUGUCAUAUCUAAGCAUUUCACCGCUACAUGACAUAUUCCGCUUACCUCCACGAUAUUCAAGACAGAUAGUAUCAAUGGCAGUUUCCGGGUUGAGCCCGGAGAUUUCACCACUGACUUAACUGCCCACCUACGCACCCUUUAAACCCAGUGAAUCCGGAUAACGCUUGCACCCUCCGUAUUACCGCGGCUGCUGGCAC